AAUGUCAGACAUUGCUGGAUGGCUGCAGCAGCUGUACACACUCUACACUGCUUGUGUUUUCUUCCCAUCUUCCGAUCCCUCUACUGACCUCUCUGGCCACUUUUUGUCAUUACAGGUAAAAAUAUAUAUAUAUACAAUCAAUAAACUUUUACGCUGUGACACUUCGGGCCAAAGGUCUUGCUACGCUGUGAUUGAUAUUAGAUGCCAGUCCUCACUCCUCUCCUUACCAUCUGAGGCUUGCCAUGCGCCCCGAUUGCGGUGUCCUUUUAAGGGGUGUGCUGAGCCGUUGAAACUUCUCGGGUGGUAUGAUUUUUGCUUAUCUGUACCAGUUUAAUGUUUUUCAUCUGUAUGUUAUUAUUUUCAACACAU
This is a long non-coding RNA of Rana temporaria (common frog), 369 nucleotides long. RefSeq lists it as uncharacterized. The record is from RefSeq and is a predicted model, not a curated record. The transcript is spliced from 3 exons. Lineage: Eukaryota; Metazoa; Chordata; Amphibia; Anura; Ranidae.